UACGUAGGGGGCAAGCGUUAUCCGGAUUUACUGGGUGUAAAGGGAGCGUAGACGGCAGUGCAAGUCUGGAGUGAAAGGCGGGGGCUCAACCCCCGGACUGCUCUGGAAACUGUACGGCUGGAGUGCAGGAGAAGUAAGUGGAAUUCCUAGUGUAGCGGUGAAAUGCGUAGAUAUUAGGAGGAACACCAGUGGCGAAGGCGGCUUACUGGACUGUAACUGACGUUGAGGCUCGAAAGCGUGGGGAGCAAACAGG
This 253-nucleotide ribosomal RNA is filed under the name uncultured bacterium. RNAcentral describes it as "partial 16S ribosomal RNA". It matches the Rfam family "Bacterial small subunit ribosomal RNA", at positions 524 to 776 of the family's 1533-position model. The record is from RNAcentral.